AGUUGCGGCCCACCGAAGCACCGACCACUGUGUUCGGAGCUCUUCGGAAUUCCUUUUCCGCGCCGCUCCACCACGCCGGCCACAGUAGCCGGCUAGCCGCCACCCGCCAGGCUCAGGCAGCCACCAGACUCUCCACCCGGCGCUACUCCGGUCAGCCUGCAGCGCAGGUGUGGCUUGGUGCAGGUUGCAGCCUCAGGUCAUACAUUCGCCAGCCAGGAACUGUUGCUGAGUCCGUAGCAUCUGCUUGUACCCUGGCUGGCAAAUGCUAUAGGUUCAGUAACGCAGGAACGGUUGGGUUCUGCAGGAAGAACAACAUAAAAAGAUGUGGUUCAUCGGGCUCCAACUCUUCCAUAUGAGGGUGUUGACUCUUGACAGUUGAUUCAAAACCCGAUGGAGUUAUGAUGGAUCCAUUGAGAAGGAGCAGGUAUGAUGGCAGAUACAGGUAGCCAGAGCCCUGUUUGUUAUAGUGACAGUGAUAGUUUUUAGCAUGGACUUCUCUCUUCUGAGCAAGCAACUAUCGUGAGUCGUGACGUUGCCACUGUCUCACCAAUGUUCAAUAAUUUCGGCGUGCAGCAACAAACCAAAGUUUAUUCCAUACACGGUCAUCUCAGGCCGUAGCCGUCUGUCAUUAUAUUUAUUGCAGCAAGUUUAUGAUGCAGUGUGCUUUUAUAAUGUCAGCUCAAUGAACAGAAAUGUGGACGCAACCUGAAUGCACUUGCAGUA
Molecule: long non-coding RNA, 723 nt
Organism: Setaria italica (foxtail millet)
Lineage: Eukaryota; Viridiplantae; Streptophyta; Magnoliopsida; Poales; Poaceae
Exons: 2
Source: RefSeq, a predicted model, not a curated record